Molecule: long non-coding RNA, 1807 nt
Organism: Brassica rapa (field mustard)
Lineage: Eukaryota; Viridiplantae; Streptophyta; Magnoliopsida; Brassicales; Brassicaceae
Source: RefSeq, a predicted model, not a curated record
UGCUAAUUGACUGGAAAUCGAUCUCAAUGCUAAAUAAUAGUUUCAGAUUCACCAGGCUUGACGUUCCUAGCCUCCCAGUACCGCAGCAGACUCGCCUCCACAACCGAUGAACACCUACCGGACUUCAAAUCAGAAAAACACCCUUGAGUUAGCCAUUAAGAGAGAUGGGUAUAAGAAUCGAGUUUAAAAUAGAUGAGUAGCAGAGAGAUGAAUAGAUCGCAAGCUCCAGAAGAGGAAUGUCAACCAAGGAUCUGAACCGUUAAGGCUUGUUGUGGCAAAAUUGGGCCUUAAUUUAGUAAGCCCAUAAACUUUCGGGCCUCGCGAGAUAGUACUGUGCGAUCGGGCCGAAAGCGGGAUGGACCACAGGUUAACCUGCGGGAUAUUGAAGACCCGCAAAUAGUCUCCAUUUUUGCCUUCACCUGAAACAACGAGAGAGAGAGAGAGAGAGAGAGAGAGAGAGAGAGAGAGAGAGAGAGAGAGAGAGAGAGAGAGAGAAGAGAGAGAGAGAGAGAGAGCGAUUCGGUCUUAGAUGUUCGCCGACGACAAAUGGAGCUCCGAUGACGGAUAUUUGAAGGUUGAUGAUACUUCCAGACUACUUCCAGACUACUCCCAUGUGUCUUCUAUCUCCAUGAGUGGAGCUUCUUUAAGCCACCGGGAGAAUUAUUCGAACUCACUUUCCACCGAAGACGAGAUCCAGCUCCGGCGAUGGGUUCUUCAGCGACGGUGGGUUUUCUUCUUCUUCUGGAGCUCCUUUGCUUCGAUCCACCACCGGAGCUUCUAUUCUUCUUAGAUCCACUGCCAGAGCUUCUAUUCUUCUAAAAUCCACCACCGUCACUUCGCCUUCGCUGCAUGCAUGGUGAACAAAGAGGUGGCUGGUGAUGACUGUGAAUGCCGGUGUAGGCUACGAUAUAGCACACCGGGGUGUCCGGUCAUUACCACCAGCUGACGUUAUAUAACAAAUUAGUUUUGUGCACUUGGAGCAAGUUGUAAUGGACUACAAGAACAAUAUAUAGCAAAUUUGAUACAUCUUUAAUAGCAGAUGCUUCAUGUAUCUUCAUUAUGUGCACUUAGGUAUGUAGUGGAGCAGCCUGAAGCGUCCUGGAACAGCAUUCAGCAUCAAAAAGCAUCCUGGAGCAGCCUGCAGCGUCAAGAAGCCUCCUGGAGCGGCCUGCAGCGUCAAAAAGCGUACUGAUGCACUCCAUUAGCGUCUGUCCCGCAGGCCGUCCCGUAAAGGAUUGUGCACUUGGCAGGGCGGGAUUGGGCAGCCCUUUUGGAGACCGCAGUCCACGCGGAACUGACCCGCCUUGACCCGUAAAUAUGAGCCCGCUGUAGUACAGGACGGGACGGACCAACCUGUACUGGUAUAUUCUGUUGAGACUUGGAAUUCUCGUCUUAUUAGAGAAUGUUUACCAAGUCUGACCAAAGGUGCAGGAGUAUUCUUUUUGUAACAAUAGAUGACGUGGCAAAGAAGUCUGUGUUAAAAGAAGAUCUACUCGAAAUGAGAUAUUCAAGGAUUAUGUGACGAGAUUUGGGUUUAUCCAAAGGAGUCGUUAGGAUCAUCUAGGUGGUAAUAAAAAGGAGCUGGAGAGGUUUUUAGCUAGUCACGGUUUUGAGAGAUCAGAGAGCUGGGUGUGAGAGUUUCUUAUCAAGCAUAAUCAAGUGUGCAACGAGAGUUGUGUUGCUUAAUUUGAUAGGUUAGAAAAUGAUCAAUGUUGAUUCACAAGCUGCGAAGUCAUAUUAUUCUGAUUAAACAGAUUCGUUGUAAUUUGUUUUAAAGCUUUUCUAAUAAAAUAUUGAAUUUGCGUUA